This is a long non-coding RNA of Diceros bicornis minor, 1223 nucleotides long. RefSeq lists it as uncharacterized. The record is from RefSeq and is a predicted model, not a curated record. The transcript has 3 exons. NCBI's taxonomy places the organism in Eukaryota, Metazoa, Chordata, Mammalia, Perissodactyla, Rhinocerotidae.
GCGCCCCGGCCUGGGCACCGCGGGGGGAGCCCGCGCGCCCGCCCCGCCCCGCGCCUCCCCGCGCCCGCGCCUGCCGCCCCGGGGAGCCUGCGGGAGGGGCCCCGCGGCCUCGGCGCCCGCUGGCUGCCCGGCGACGCCCCUCCGCCUCCCCAGCGCUGGCCGGGGGCGGAUUAGGAAGCCGCGGCACGACCCGGGAGAUCCGGGCGCAGGGACCCGGCCGGAGGGUCAAGGUCACUCAGCGGGCGCGGGGAGGAUCCAGGAGGCCCGGAGCGACCCGAGGCCCGGCGCGUCGGCUGGGGAGCUGAAGUCGGCGCCGCUGGUCACUCCCGCCUGGCCCAGGUUAUUUCGCGGUGGCUUGGCCCAGGGGCAAAGUCAGACUUGGAGUCUCUGCUUGAACUGCUGUUCGUGAGGAGGACAAGGUCACGGGCCUUCACACCUGGUCAAGUUCAGCUCCUGAGAAGGGCAGCUGCGGCUCCUUCACCUGAGGGGUUUAGUUGAGCAGUCCUUGCCAGUAGCAGCCCCCCGCUUCAGGAGGCGCACUGCCGCUAGCCAUGCCACAUCCUCCCCAGGCCUGGGGCCCCUACACCCAGACGCAGAAAUGGAGGCUCCCUCGCUGCCCUCCUCUUAACUCCCUUGAGGCCCUGGACGUCUCCUCACAGAGCCAUUCCAUGCCCUCGUUCGCUGCUCCCGGUGGGCCUGACAGCCCUGUCACAGAGGGAUGGAGACGCGGGUUGCUUGCAGAAGUGAGUGUACGCUGUUUCCCCAUCAGCCAGGAGCUCCCGGGCUGGAGCUGGUCUCCUCCUCCUGGCCCCGUGCACGUGCUCCAGGUCCCUGAGCAGCAGACUGGCCACCAGAACUGCCCCCUGCUCCCCUGGGGUCAGGCCCAGGCCUGGGUCCCUCACCUGCGUGCAUAGUGUCCUGUUCCACACUGCUGGGCCACUUUUCCAGGCUCCUUAUUUCUUGGAGGCCCAGCUCUCAUGUCACCGCCUCCAGGAAGGAGUCCCUGAUUUCAGGCUGGUCAGCUGCCUGUCUGGGCCCCCGCAGGCCCAUGGCACCCUGCCCCUGCUCAAUCUAGUUUGCAGAGAACUGGAUAAAGAAGAAAAGACCACGACGGACACGCUUCUUUCCCUGCCUGGACCCUGAAUGGUUCCGACACGGGGCUGGAGCCAGCUAUAUAACUGUAGAAUGAAAAUGGGGGCAUGUUGAAAAAGCAGGAGAAAUGU